RNAcentral lists this non-coding RNA (188 nucleotides) under Acidobacteriota bacterium. RNAcentral describes it as "Acidobacteria bacterium (activated sludge metagenome) 6S RNA". It matches the Rfam family "6S / SsrS RNA". Rfam says of the family: E. coli 6S RNA was the first non coding RNA to be sequenced, but its function was unknown until recently. The record is from RNAcentral. Lineage: Bacteria; Pseudomonadati; Acidobacteriota.
CAUCCCCUGUGUGGUUGGUGAUGGGUAUCCUAUUUGUAGAACCAACACUAUUGCCCAGGGAGUCUUUUACCUGCGGAGCCUGUGCAAGCCCCGCCCGUACGGGGACGCUGAUGGCGCGUGGAGCGGACACCCACCUGAAGAAAUUCAGGUUCUAAAAGCGGCAGCCCACACGGCUUCGCGGGGGAUGC